AACGUAUACACUCAACAACAUCACAAUAAAUAAUAGAAACGUGCAGUCGUUUGAGAACCCCGACACACUAGCCAAGAGACCAUGCAAACAUUACCCGACGGAAAAUUAUAAUAAUCAUGACAAAGGUUGUGUCGCCGCAUCCAGCCCGCUAGGAGGACUCCGCCACGUGACGUGUCGACACCAAUUAGACUACGAAACGGUGGCGGCAAAUCGUUCCAGCACUUGGAUGCGGCGAACCUGAAACUGCCACGGAAAGCGGUGGUGCGGUGACGAGGUACUGCGAGUGAGUAGUACGACGCACGGAUCCUGGCAGCAGUCACGUCGCGGGACCAAACUAGUUUGUCCGCAAGAUAUGGCGGUAAUUUAAAAUUAACUAUUCCGAACAUCAGCGUUGCAAAAUGAAACUGUCUGCGAUAUUUCAUUUUUAGGAUUCUAGCCUUGUUUAUGUAAGGUGUUACGUGUGUGCGGGGAGGAAUUUUGAAGCAGAAUCUAGCGCAAGCAUUUUGUACUCUCUGAACCAGGUUUUGUGAGCGAGCCAGAAGCCGAGGCCCAUACACAGCGUCCAUAUAAUUAAACUUAGAGAGAAUUAAAGA
This is a long non-coding RNA of Pectinophora gossypiella (pink bollworm), 593 nucleotides long. RefSeq lists it as uncharacterized. The record is from RefSeq and is a predicted model, not a curated record. NCBI's taxonomy places the organism in Eukaryota, Metazoa, Arthropoda, Insecta, Lepidoptera, Gelechiidae. The transcript has 3 exons.